GACCCUGAGGGUUUCAGUAUCUCAAGAAUCAUUAUUGCAGGUUCAUUUUGCACGAGCUUGAGAUAGACACUCUACAUUAGAUAGAUACCCGUAGAUACGCAACCCACCCGAUGAUCUAGAAAGUCUCUAAAAGCCAAUUGACAGGAAACGCGAAAGUAAAGACAACCCGAGAUUCCUAAGAACCAUCCUGAAGGACUACACUACCAGUACGGGAGAGAACGUUAGGAACUUCGGAAUGGCGAUCACGCCAGUGAUGAACUUGCCAUAGAAUUACACUAUGUCCUAAGUACUGAAAAGCUCUACCUUUCCGAGAGCUUAGCACCACCCGAGAUCCUGUACGGAGAUUGGUCCAACCCUCGUCAGACCGCUACUACUCCUGGAUAUUCCACAAGUUUCACACCCGAUCGAUCCACUUCUUAGACUUGAUAUGUGUUUACCCGAUGCCACUCUUCAUAUCCCACUCAUCCAGAUAGAAACCAUUGAGAACCCUAACCUCGUAGAUACACCAGUCGGAACCCGCUAACUACACGAGACGAAAUCCGCAUCCCGUAGGUGAAGGUUUGUUGGAAUGACAAACACAGACCAGAGUUCACUUGGGAAUGCGAGGACAAAACGAAUAAGAAGUACCCUUCUGCCUCUAUCAUUCAUACCUACUUCCUUGCCUAGACCUGAAUUUCGGGACGAAAUUCCCUGUAACGAGGGGAUGAUGUGACAACCACCCAAAAUUAUUCCGUUACAUUACCCCGUUACCGUUAACGGAAUAUUCCAUUUUAUAAAAGUUCUGUUAAUUAGAGGUCGCCAAAUAAAUAAAUGUUUUAUUUAUUUAUAUUAAUGUCGUUAUAGUCAUAAUAAAAUAAGUAAAUACAUGUAAAAAUUACAUUUCCAUUUAUUUGGAAAAAGCUAAAAUUUUAUUACGACCACCUAAAUCGGGUGCGACCAAAAGCCCCGUAUAACAGCAGUAUCGGGUAGAUUUCCACUGAGCUCCAACUUGAACCCAUAUAUAAGGGGGAAUGUACUUCAUUCCACCCCUUUACACACUCUCUCUAUACUCUCUCUCAUAAAACCCGUUUUUGACUCAAAAACGCGAAUUUCCGCCUCCUAAACGUAAGUCUCUUUACCCUAACCUAUUCUAAACAUCAUGACUUGUUAUAGCCCAAAAAUCAAACUUAGAAGCUGUUGAAAAGGAGUUCACAGCCUAAGAGCAUGCUUAGGCCGUAAACCCCUAAUAAGAGGCCAAAAUGACCCAAAUUUGUCCCUAAAAGCUUCGAAACUAAUUGAGGAUUUAGCCUAGGAGUGUUUGAAGCAUAAAACAAUUAGUUUUAGGGCAUAAAAGAGAGUUUACGGCCCAAGCACAUGCUUAGGCCGUAAACACCUCUAAUCCUUGCAAAAUGCCCCAAAAACACUCCCAAACCACCCUUAGGCUUAAGACAUAAAUUAGGGACAUGCUAUUUCGGGUUUAGAACAAUUAAACACUAAGAAAUGAGGGGUAAAAAGGAGUUUAUGGCCCAAGCAAGUGCUUAGGCCGUAAACACCCCCAAACCUCACCAAAUGAUGGUUUUAAACCCCCCAAAUGGCCUCAUACUUCAUUCAUACCUACUUCCUUGCCUAGACCUGAAUUUCGGGACGAAAUUCCCUGUAACGAGGGGAUGAUGUGACAACCACCCAAAAUUAUUCCGUUACAUUACCCCGUUACCGUUAACGGAAUAUUCCAUUUUAUA
This 1718-nucleotide long non-coding RNA is filed under the name Lactuca sativa (garden lettuce). RNAcentral's name for it is "long non-coding RNA (LSAT_LNC002850)". Lineage: Eukaryota; Viridiplantae; Streptophyta; Magnoliopsida; Asterales; Asteraceae. The record is from RNAcentral.